This 198-nucleotide ribosomal RNA is filed under the name Triticum aestivum (bread wheat). RNAcentral describes it as "partial small subunit ribosomal RNA". Lineage: Eukaryota; Viridiplantae; Streptophyta; Magnoliopsida; Poales; Poaceae. The record is from RNAcentral.
AUGCGCAAAGGCCUCACUCCCAUUGCCCUUCUCACCCCAUGGAUGAUUUGGAAACACCAUAAGGAAUGUGUCUUCGAGGGUGCCCAACCAUCUGUGAGCAGCCUGGUUGCGAAGAUAAGGGACGAGGCAAAGCUUUGGGCCAGAGCUGACGCUUCCGGACUCCAUGACACUAUGCCCCGGUCUUGGGAUGUACAUUAA